GAGUUUGAUCUUGGCUCAGAUUGAACGCUGGCGGCAGGCCUAACACAUGCAAGUCGAGCGGUAGAGAGAAGCUUGCUUCUCUUGAGAGCGGCGGACGGGUGAGUAACUGCCUAGGAAUCCUGCCUGGUAGUGGGGGGAUAACGCUCGGAAACGGACGCUAAUACCGCAUACCGUCCUACGGGAGAAAGCAGGGGACCUUCGGGCCUUGCGCUAUCAGAUGAGCCUAGGUCGGAUUAGCUAGUUGGUGAGGUAAAUGGCUCACCAAGGCGACGAUCCGUAACUGGUCUGAGGGGGAUGAUCAGUCACACUGGAACUGAGACACGGUCCAGACCUCCUACGGGAGGCACGCAGU
This 352-nucleotide ribosomal RNA is filed under the name uncultured bacterium. RNAcentral's name for it is "bacterial SSU rRNA". It matches the Rfam family "Bacterial small subunit ribosomal RNA", at positions 9 to 355 of the family's 1533-position model. The record is from RNAcentral.